GACGAACGCUGGCGGCGUGCUUAACACAUGCAAGUCGAACGAGAAUCUACUGAAAGAGUUUUCGGACAAUGGAUGUAGAGGAAAGUGGCGGACGGGUGAGUAACGCGUGAGGAACCUGCCUUGAAGAGGGGGACAACAGUUGGAAACGACUGCUAAUACCGCAUGAAGCAUAGGGGUCGCAUGAUUCUUAUGCCAAAGAUUUAUCGCCUCAAGAUGGCCUCGCGUCUGAUUAGCUAGUUGGCGGGGUAACGGCCCACCAAGGCGACGAUCAGUAGCCGGACUGAGAGGUUGAACGGCCACAUUGGGACUGAGAUACGGCCCAGACUCCUACGGGAGGCAGCAGUGGGGAAUAUUGGGCAAUGGGCGCAAGCCUGACCCAGCAACGCCGCGUGAAGGAAGAAGGCUUUCGGGUUGUAAACUUCUUUUAAGAGGGAAGAGCAGAAGACGGUACCUCUAGAAUAAGCCACGGCUAACUACGUGCCAGCCGCCGCGGUAA
This 496-nucleotide ribosomal RNA is filed under the name uncultured bacterium. Its description in RNAcentral is "partial 16S ribosomal RNA". It matches the Rfam family "Bacterial small subunit ribosomal RNA", at positions 28 to 523 of the family's 1533-position model. The record is from RNAcentral.